GUCGAACGCUGGCGGCGUGCCUAAUACAUGCAAGUUGAGCGAUGAAGAUUGGUGCUUGCACCAAUUUGAAGAGCAGCGAACGGGUGAGUAACGCGUGGGGAAUCUGCCUUUGAGCGGGGGACAACAUUUGGAAACGAAUGCUAAUACCGCAUAACAACUUUAAACAUAAGUUUUAAGUUUGAAAGAUGCAAUUGCAUCACUCAAAGAUGAUCCCGCGUUGUAUUAGCUAGUUGGUGAGGUAAAGGCUCACCAAGGCGAUGAUACAUAGCCGACCUGAGAGGGUGAUCGGCCACAUUGGGACUGAGACACGGCCCAAACUCCUACGGGAGGCAGCAGUAGGGAAUCUUCGGCAAUGGACGAAAGUCUGACCGAGCAACGCCGCGUGAGUGAAGAAGGUUGUCGGAUCGUAAAACUCUGUUGGUAGAGAAGAACGUUGGUGAGAGUGGAAAGCUCAUCAAGUGACGGUAACUACCCAGAAAGGGACGGCUAACUACGUG
This 497-nucleotide ribosomal RNA is filed under the name uncultured bacterium. RNAcentral's name for it is "partial 16S ribosomal RNA". It matches the Rfam family "Bacterial small subunit ribosomal RNA", at positions 28 to 507 of the family's 1533-position model. The record is from RNAcentral.